UUAUGGCCAUAUCACGUUGAACCAUCAGCUCCCAUAAGAUCACUGAAUUUAAGCAAUGUUCAGCCUAGUCUGUACCUAGAUGGGUGACUGCUUGGGAAUACCAGGUAUUGCAAG
Non-coding RNA from Acanthosepion pharaonis, 114 nucleotides. NCBI's taxonomy places the organism in Eukaryota, Metazoa, Mollusca, Cephalopoda, Sepiida, Sepiidae. The record is from the annotation of a GenBank genome assembly.